CGGCGCGAGAGUGCGGAGACGGCGUCGCAGCGUGUGCCUUGGCGCCCGCUGGGGCUAGCGUGGUAGCUGCUUUCGGUGCGCGCUGCACUCCCGAGACCCGGUUAAACGCUCCCGGAGAACCCAGGUUUCCGGAUUCUGGGAAAAGAAGAUAAUCUGAACGAUCAGUGACUUCCCGGGCUUUUUCAGCUGCAGCCAAAUUUAGG
RNAcentral lists this long non-coding RNA (203 nucleotides) under Fukomys damarensis (Damara mole-rat). RNAcentral describes it as "lncRNA (ENSFDAG00000025221.1)". The record is from RNAcentral. Lineage: Eukaryota; Metazoa; Chordata; Mammalia; Rodentia; Bathyergidae.